CAGUAGCCGCGGUAAUGCGUAGGUGGCAAGCGUUGUCCGGAAUUAUUGGGCGUAAAGGGCUCGCAGGCGGUUUCUUAAGUCUGAUGUGAAAGCCCCCGGCUCAACCGGGGAGGGUCAUUGGAAACUGGGAAACUUGAGUGCAGAAGAGGAGAGUGGAAUUCCACGUGUAGCGGUGAAAUGCGUAGAGAUGUGGAGGAACACCAGUGGCGAAGGCGACUCUCUGGUCUGUAACUGACGCUGAGGAGCGAAAGCGUGGGGAGCGAACAGGAUUAGAGACCCCUGUAGUCCCUGUCUCUUAUAC
This 301-nucleotide ribosomal RNA is filed under the name uncultured bacterium. Its description in RNAcentral is "partial 16S ribosomal RNA". It matches the Rfam family "Bacterial small subunit ribosomal RNA", at positions 509 to 807 of the family's 1533-position model. The record is from RNAcentral.